AGGAUAAUAGUUUAAAAAACAUUUAAUUUGCAUUUAAAAAAUAUCGUUUCUAAUGAUUUAUCUUU
RNAcentral lists this transfer RNA (65 nucleotides) under Tomicus yunnanensis. RNAcentral describes it as "tRNA-Ala". It matches the Rfam family "tRNA". Rfam says of the family: Transfer RNA (tRNA) molecules are approximately 80 nucleotides in length. Their secondary structure includes four short double-helical elements and three loops (D, anti-codon, and T loops). Lineage: Eukaryota; Metazoa; Arthropoda; Insecta; Coleoptera; Curculionidae. The record is from RNAcentral.